Molecule: ribosomal RNA, 1372 nt
Filed under: uncultured bacterium
Lineage: Bacteria
Description: bacterial SSU rRNA
Rfam family: Bacterial small subunit ribosomal RNA
Source: RNAcentral
GAUGAACGCUGGCGGCGUGCCUAAUACAUGCAAGUCGAGCGAACGGACGAGAAGCUUGCUUCUCUGAUGUUAGCGGCGGACGGGUGAGUAACACGUGGAUAACCUACCUAUAAGACUGGGAUAACUUCGGGAAACCGGAGCUAAUACCGGAUAAUAUUUUGAACCGCAUGGUUCAAAAGUGAAAGACGGUCUUGCUGUCACUUAUAGAUGGAUCCGCGCUGCACUAGCUAGUUGGUAAGGUAACGGCUUACCAAGGCAACGAUGCAUAGCCGACCUGAGAGGGUGAUCGGCCACACUGGAACUGAGACACGGUCCAGACUCCUACGGGAGGCAGCAGUAGGGAAUCUUCCGCAAUGGGCGAAAGCCUGACGGAGCAACGCCGCGUGAGUGAUGAAGGUCUUUGGAUCGUAAAACUCUGUUAUUAGGGAAGAACAUAUGUGUAAGUAACUGUGCACAUCUUGACGGUACCUAAUCAGAAAGCCACGGCUAACUACGUGCCAGCAGCCGCGGUAAUACGUAGGUGGCAAGCGUUAUCCGGAAUUAUUGGGCGUAAAGCGCGCGUAGGCGGUUUUUUAAGUCUGAUGUGAAAGCCCACGGCUCAACCGUGGAGGGUCAUUGGAAACUGGAAAACUUGAGUGCAGAAGAGGAAAGUGGAAUUCCAUGUGUAGCGGUGAAAUGCGCAGAGAUAUGGAGGAACACCAGUGGCGAAGGCGACUUUCUGGUCUGUAACUGACGCUGAUGUGCGAAAGCGUGGGGAUCAAACAGGAUUAGAUACCCUGGUAGUCCACGCCGUAAACGAUGAGUGCUAAGUGUUAGGGGGUUUCCGCCCCUUAGUGCUGCAGCUAACGCAUUAAGCACUCCGCCUGGGGAGUACGACCGCAAGGUUGAAACUCAAAGGAAUUGACGGGGACCCGCACAAGCGGUGGAGCAUGUGGUUUAAUUCGAAGCAACGCGAAGAACCUUACCAAAUCUUGACAUCCUUUGACAACUCUAGAGAUAGAGCUUUCCCCUUCGGGGGACAAAGUGACAGGUGGUGCAUGGUUGUCGUCAGCUCGUGUCGUGAGAUGUUGGGUUAAGUCCCGCAACGAGCGCAACCCUUAAGCUUAGUUGCCAUCAUUAAGUUGGGCACUCUAAGUUGACUGCCGGUGACAAACCGGAGGAAGGUGGGGAUGACGUCAAAUCAUCAUGCCCCUUAUGAUUUGGGCUACACACGUGCUACAAUGGACAAUACAAAGGGCAGCGAAACCGCGAGGUCAAGCAAAUCCCAUAAAGUUGUUCUCAGUUCGGAUUGUAGUCUGCAACUCGACUACAUGAAGCUGGAAUCGCUAGUAAUCGUAGAUCAACAUGCUACGGUGAAUACGUUCCCGGGUCU